RNAcentral lists this unclassified non-coding RNA (197 nucleotides) under uncultured Russulaceae. RNAcentral describes it as "sequence contains ITS1". Lineage: Eukaryota; Fungi; Basidiomycota; Agaricomycetes; Russulales; Russulaceae. The record is from RNAcentral.
UCGUAACAACCGAGGCGCGAGGGCUGUCGCUGAUCUGAACCCUCAGGUCGUGCACGCUCGAGCGUCCUCGCACAUCCAUCUCACCCCAAUGUGCACCACCGCGUGGGUCUCCCUUUGGCUUGUUCGAAGGGGGCUCACGUUUUCACACAAACCCCCCCAUCUAAAAGUGUAGAAUGUCCUCAUUUAUGCAAUAAAUA